This 683-nucleotide ribosomal RNA is filed under the name Bacillus subtilis. RNAcentral describes it as "bacterial SSU rRNA". It matches the Rfam family "Bacterial small subunit ribosomal RNA", at positions 556 to 1237 of the family's 1533-position model. Lineage: Bacteria; Bacillati; Bacillota; Bacilli; Caryophanales; Bacillaceae. The record is from RNAcentral.
GGGCGUAAAGGGCUCCGCAGGCGGUUUUUUAAGUCUGAAUGUGAAAGCCCCCGGCUUAACCGGGGAGGGUCAUUGGAAACUGGGGAACUUGAGUGCAGAAGAGGAGAGUGGAAUUCCACGUGUAGCGGUGAAAUGCGUAGAGAUGUGGAGGAACACCAGUGGCGAAGGCGACUCUCUGGUCUGUAACUGACGCUGAGGAGCGAAAGCGUGGGGAGCGAACAGGAUUAGAUACCCUGGUAGUCCACGCCGUAAACGAUGAGUGCUAAGUGUUAGGGGGUUUCCGCCCCUUAGUGCUGCAGCUAACGCAUUAAGCACUCCGCCUGGGGAGUACGGUCGCAAGACUGAAACUCAAAGGAAUUGACGGGGGCCCGCACAAGCGGUGGAGCAUGUGGUUUAAUUCGAAGCAACGCGAAGAACCUUACCAGGUCUUGACAUCCUCUGACAAUCCUAGAGAUAGGACGUCCCCUUCGGGGGCAGAGUGACAGGUGGUGCAUGGUUGUCGUCAGCUCGUGUCGUGAGAUGUUGGGUUAAGUCCCGCAACGAGCGCAACCCUUGAUCUUAGUUGCCAGCAUUCAGUUGGGCACUCUAAGGUGACUGCCGGUGACAAACCGGAGGAAGGUGGGGAUGACGUCAAAUCAUCAUGCCCCUUAUGACCUGGGCUACACACGUGCUACAAUGGACAG